This 84-nucleotide transfer RNA is filed under the name Actinoplanes ianthinogenes. RNAcentral describes it as "tRNA-Ala". The record is from RNAcentral. Lineage: Bacteria; Bacillati; Actinomycetota; Actinomycetes; Micromonosporales; Micromonosporaceae.
CCCUUGGUGGUGGACGGGUUGACCACGUCGGUGAUCGCGGCGUUGUAGGCGGACUUGCCGCCGUUCGACCCGCCGCCACCGGUC